Homo sapiens (human) is the source of this 2997-nucleotide long non-coding RNA. Ensembl annotates it as cytoplasmic endogenous regulator of oxidative phosphorylation 1. Its record names the gene CEROX1. The record is from Ensembl. Lineage: Eukaryota; Metazoa; Chordata; Mammalia; Primates; Hominidae.
CUCCCCUCUCUGGAGCCCCGGGAAAGGAAGCGGGGCAGGGAGGCCGGGUGGGAGCAGGGGGGUCUCCGGCGCUUCCUCUCCUCUGCGGGCGCCGCGCGGCUCCUGAGAGUCCGCCCCCCGUCCUGACGCUCAGCUAGGAAGCGGGUCCUCGGGCCCCUCCCCCGACACACACACACACACACACACACACACACACACACACACACACUCUCUCUCUCUCUCUCUCUCUCUCUCUCUCUCUCUCUCUCUCUCACACACACACACACACACACAGCCCGUCUCGCGCCUGAGGUCUCGCCCGCAGGCCGGUGGCGCGGGGUCAGCUGCUGCCUGCGGUCCAGGACAGGGUCGGUUCCGCCGCGCAGCGCCCAGGCCCAGCUCGUCCAGAGUCUGCGGACAGCGCACGUCCAGGUAACGCGCUUCAAGGGGCCGCGGCUCGGAGCUGGGGGACCCCGGGCCGCCCUGCCCAUACGAGUGCGAGCGUGGAGAGCGCGGGCGGGGGCGCGGUCCCGGGGGCCGGCCAGCUGGAGGGGGCGGGAGCGCUGGGCGGGGCCUGCGCUGACCCCGGCGCUGAGUCCCUGGGGCCGCCGGGCGGAUGGCGUGGCCGGACGCGGGGGCCCCGGGCCUUCCGGGCGUGACCUAGGGCUCGGGGGCGGGGAGGCCCCUCCGGCGGGGCGGCCCUGGGUGGUCCGGCAGAGGCGGAGGCCGCUCCGAGCCUGUGAGCCCUGGGCGCCUGCGGAGGCGGGGAGAGGGCGGGGUGUGCCGCCCUGGUGGGGACCGCGGGGUCGGAGAGGGGACAUUGCCCCCCCCGAGGCGAACGUCCAACCGCGGGUCCGGGUCCCCGCCCAAGGCCGCCCCGCGAGGUGGCCUCGGCCCGGCCGUCCCCGAGGGUGGCUCGGAUCCUUUCAACCAGCGCGCUGGAGGCGAAGGGGCUGCGCCAUUCCGGGUCAGGCAGCCAACGCGGGACACGCGCGUCUCCGAGCUUGCGGCCCGCGAAACCCGGGUGACCUACCGCGCCGGUGCCCUCAAAGCCCCCACGCCCGGGCCGGUGGCCGCUGCAGCCACUGAGCCACGCGGUCUCCCCGGCCCGGUCGGCAGAAGGAGCUGGUCCGUUACUAGAAAAGUCCAGAUGCAAAGUCGGGGGUCGUGCUGCCGCUUCCUGCCAGCGCACCGCACCCACCUGGGGCCGCCACCGACCGCACAGGACGCGCCUCCUACCCCCUGUUCUGGCCCGGCCGAGAGCUGGUGCCCCCAGCGGCCGCCCGCCCCCGUCCGCAGACCCCGGGGCCCUUGCUGCUUUGCAUUGGGAACAACCGGAGCCAGGCCCGGAGCUGAGGGGGCCAGGGCCUUUGGAGGAAGCAUUGGCCUCCAGGCUGAAGAGCAAGGGCCGUGUCACCUGCCCGGAGGGCGGUCUCAUCUCUGCAGCCAGGUCAGAGGAAGCAGCGGUGGGGAGACGGAGUGCGCGAGUUGGGAGGCUCCACGCAUCGUAGGUGGAGAGCUGGCUGCCAGCCUGGCCUGCCCUCUCUUCCCCGUCCCACCAUCUCGCUUGGCUCCGGCACCUGCCUGGGAAGACCCACACCUCCGUCUGCAGUGCCUCUUCCCCCUGGAGGCCCUGCCCUCCGCUCGGGGUCCCCGCAUCCUUCCGUGGCCCUCAGAGCAUCGCCUGGGGCGCCCGCGGAACUCAUCUGUUAGGCCUGGGAUGCAGGCAGGCAGAAGUGGGGGUUUAAGUGGAAGCAGUGAGGGUGGGGGUCCGGUCCAAACUGUGCCACCUUCCACCCCCUGCCCCUGGGAGAGCAGACAUCGCCCACUCGGGCUCACAGUGCCAUCCGGGUGAGGACCUCCGUGGAGAGCUCUCUUUGCCAAAGAAAAGCAGUUGCAUUAGGUCUGCGAGCAGGCAGGGUGGCCUCUUCCUGGCUCCCCAUCCACCAAGGAAGCUUCAAGUCCCUGGGACACAGGCACUUUCCCACACAGGAUGGAGCCGGGCCACCCUCACAGCUCCUGCCCUGCAGACGCUGGCCUUGUGGAGGGAGGCAGGCAGCAGGAGCAGUGCUUUCUGGGCCUCUGUAGCCAGAGCUGGCCCUGCUGCAGCUUACGUCUGCCUGCAGCCCAGACGUCCUCCUGGUCCUCCUGAUGCCCCCGACCUCCACGGAGGACGAGCAUUUCCAGCCCAGCCCUCCCCAUCUUCACCUCGCACUCCCCUGACACACUGGGAGCCUCCUGAUCCGUGAACCCGCGCUGGCGGGAGUAGCUACUGACCGCUGGGGACCCCUGCCCAGGCUGUUCGCAUGUGGAAAGGAUUCAGGGAGCAGGCGAUGCCCAAAGCGUGGAGACCAGCACUGCUCUCUCCCCAGUGACAGUACAGCUGUGCCGUGUACAGGAGGGUGCUGUCUGACGCCAGACACCUGGACUACAGAUCGCAGCCUGAUUCCUGGUCAUUGCUCCACUGAACCCCAGACCCCAGCCUCGUUCUGGGCCCUCAUCCCCUAGAUCCAGGGACCCCAGCCCCAUUUCAGCCCUUGGGCCCUUGUAGGAUGCGAGGCCCUGGGCCCCAGCCCCCAGCCCAUCCGUGGCCCAGGCACUGGGGGGCUGAGGUCCUCUGAGAAGGGACACAGGGCCUGGGGGGCUCUCUCAGCCCAUCAGCAGGAGAGGACUGACUCCAGAAAAAUCAGCGUUUGUACCCACUCAGGCUGCCAAGACCUGUGUCCGUCCUUCCAAGCUCAACCUUCAGAGUUCAUGAGGCCCCUUGCCCAGAAUGUCCACAGAGUUCAUGAGGCCCCUUGCCCGGAAUGUCCACAUUUGAAACCUCCCAACACCGAGCCCCAUUUCAAGUAUAACCAGGAGGGAAAAUGGUGCUUGAAAUAAGCAUGCCACAAAGGAAAACCUGCUUUCUCGAAAUGGGCCCUGGCCGCCCAGGCCCUGACCUCCCCGGCCAGGAUGGAACGUUCCAGAGACCCAUUAGUGCCAAAGGCAAAUGAAAACACACCCUGUGAAAAUGUC